ACACGACUACAUUAGAUACCCCGGUAGUCCUAGCCGUAAACGAUACUCGCUAGGUGUCGGCCACGGUGCGACCGUUGUCGGUGCCGUGGGAAGCCGUGAAGCGAGCCACCUGGGAAGUACGGCCGCAAGGCUAGAAACUUAAAGGAAUUGGCGGGGGAGCACAACAACGGGUGGAGCUUGCGGUUUAAUUGGAUUCAACGCCGGAAAUCAUACCGGGACCGACAGCAACAUGAAGGCCAAGCUGAAGACUUUGCCGGAUUAGCUG
Molecule: ribosomal RNA, 265 nt
Filed under: uncultured archaeon
Lineage: Archaea
Description: partial 16S ribosomal RNA
Rfam family: Archaeal small subunit ribosomal RNA
Source: RNAcentral